This 26-nucleotide non-coding RNA is filed under the name Homo sapiens (human). The record is from RNAcentral. Lineage: Eukaryota; Metazoa; Chordata; Mammalia; Primates; Hominidae.
UGCAGGUGUAAGGUGGCUCCUUUGCA